RNAcentral lists this ribosomal RNA (551 nucleotides) under uncultured bacterium. RNAcentral's name for it is "bacterial SSU rRNA". It matches the Rfam family "Bacterial small subunit ribosomal RNA", at positions 355 to 896 of the family's 1533-position model. The record is from RNAcentral.
UGGGGAAUUCCUGGACAAUGGGCGCAAGCCUGAUCCAGCCAUGCCGCGUGUCUGAAGAAGGCCUUCGGGUUGUAAAGGACUUUUGUCAGGGAAGAAAAGGACAGGGUUAAUACCUCUGUUUGAUGACGGUACCUGAAGAAUAAGCACCGGCUAACUACGUGCCAGCAGCCGCGGUAAUACGUAGGGUGCGAGCGUUAAUCGGAAUUACUGGGCGUAAAGCGAGCGCAGACGGUUACUUAAGCAGGAUGUGAAAUCCCCGGGCUUAACCUGGGAACUGCGUUCUGAACUGGGUGACUAGAGUGUGUCAGAGGGAGGUAGAAUUCCACGUGUAGCAGUGAAAUGCGUAGAGAUGUGGAGGAAUACCGAUGGCGAAGGCAGCCUCCUAGGAUAACACUGACGUUCAUGCUCGAAAGCGUGGGUAGCAAACAGGAUUAGAUACCCUGGUAGUCCACGCCCUAAACGAUGUCAAUUAGCUGUUGGGCAACUUGAUUGCUUAGUAGCGUAGCUNACGCGUGAAAUUGACCGCCUGGGGGAGUACGGUCGCAAGAUUA